Long non-coding RNA from Hyla sarda, 383 nucleotides. RefSeq lists it as uncharacterized. The record is from RefSeq and is a predicted model, not a curated record. NCBI's taxonomy places the organism in Eukaryota, Metazoa, Chordata, Amphibia, Anura, Hylidae. The transcript has 3 exons.
GCAAAGACACUGAUUGGAGACGACUAACAACACUUUUGAUUGUGUAGCUUAAAACAAGCGUGUGAUGCAACCCUAUAUCCUGUCGAAUGAUUUGUGCAAUCUUGGACUAAAUCAAGAAAUGGGGGAAGCACCAAUUCCUCUUCCAAAGGCGUUUCUAUGGAGAUACAUCAAGAUGUCUCCUUUGUCCUAAUGGAUAGCUACGAUUCUGGUGAUGGCAGAGCGCUCUUUAUUAAAGACCGGAAAACUGAUGCUGAAAAAGGGAACCCUCUAAACUUGAGAGAAUUGUACUAGAAGAAAUGCCACCAUUGUUUUAAAUAUCUAGACACACAUUUAAAAUGUUCUAAGAAUACAAAGUUUGUUUAUGUCUACUUAUCUCUUGGCUU